UACGGAGGAUGCGAGCGUUAUCCGGAUUUAUUGGGUUUAAAGGGUGCGCAGGCGGCACGGCAAGCCGGCGGUCAAAUCGCGGGGCUCAAUCCCGCCCAGCCGUCGGAACUGCCGGGCUAGAGUGGGCGAGAAGUGCGCGGAAUGCGUGGUGUAGCGGUGAAAUGCAUAGAUAUCACGCAGAACUCCGAUUGCGAGGGCAGCGCACCGGCGCCCUACUGACGCUCAGGCACGAAAGCGUGGGUAUCGAACAGG
RNAcentral lists this ribosomal RNA (252 nucleotides) under uncultured bacterium. RNAcentral's name for it is "partial 16S ribosomal RNA". It matches the Rfam family "Bacterial small subunit ribosomal RNA", at positions 524 to 776 of the family's 1533-position model. The record is from RNAcentral.